RNAcentral lists this ribosomal RNA (153 nucleotides) under uncultured Burkholderia sp. RNAcentral's name for it is "partial 16S ribosomal RNA". It matches the Rfam family "Bacterial small subunit ribosomal RNA", at positions 329 to 474 of the family's 1533-position model. Lineage: Bacteria; Pseudomonadati; Pseudomonadota; Betaproteobacteria; Burkholderiales; Burkholderiaceae. The record is from RNAcentral.
CACGGGGGGCCUACGGGAGGCAGCAGUGGGGAAUUUUGGACAAUGGGCGAAAGCCUGAUCCAGCAAUGCCGCGUGUGUGAAGAAGGCCUUCGGGUUGUAAAGCACUUUUGUCCGGAAAGAAAUCCUUGGCUGUAAUACAGUCGGGGGAUGACC